UGCAUUCACUAUUGUAAGUCGCUCUGGAUAAGAGCGUCUGCUAAAUGACUUAAA
Salmo salar (Atlantic salmon) is the source of this 54-nucleotide non-coding RNA. The record is from Rfam. NCBI's taxonomy places the organism in Eukaryota, Metazoa, Chordata, Actinopteri, Salmoniformes, Salmonidae.